UACAGAGGUCCCAAGCGUUGUUCGGAUUCACUGGGCGGUAAAGGGUGCGUAGGUCGGUCGGGUAAGUCUGAUGAUUGAAAUCUACACAGCUUAACUGUGAAACUGCAUUGGAUACUAUCCGGCUAGAGGAAUGGAGGGGAGACUGGAAUACUUGGUGUAGCAAGUGAAAUGCGUAGAUAUCAAGUGGAACACCAGUGGCGAAGGCGAGUCUCUGGACAUUUCCUGACGCUGAGGCACGAAAGCCAGGGGAGCAAACGGG
This 259-nucleotide ribosomal RNA is filed under the name uncultured bacterium. Its description in RNAcentral is "partial 16S ribosomal RNA". It matches the Rfam family "Bacterial small subunit ribosomal RNA", at positions 524 to 776 of the family's 1533-position model. The record is from RNAcentral.